UAGGGAAUCUUCCACAAUGGACGCAAGUCUGAUGGAGCAACGCCGCGUGAGUGAAGAAGGUUUUCGGACCGUAAAGCUCUGUUGUUGGUGAGAAGGAUAGAGGUAGUAACUGGCCUUUAUUUGACGGUAAUCAACCAGAAAGUCACGGCUAACUACGUGCCAGCAGCCGCGGUAAUACGUAGGUGGCAAGCGUUGUCCGGAUUUAUUGGGCGUAAAGCGAGCGCAGGCGGAAGAAUAAGUCUGAUGUGAAAGCCCUCGGCUUAACCGAGGAAUUGCAUCGGAAACUGUUUUCUUGAGUGCAGAAGGGGAG
This 310-nucleotide ribosomal RNA is filed under the name uncultured bacterium. Its description in RNAcentral is "partial 16S ribosomal RNA". It matches the Rfam family "Bacterial small subunit ribosomal RNA", at positions 355 to 659 of the family's 1533-position model. The record is from RNAcentral.